CAUGCAAGUCGAGCGGACGGAUGGGAGCUUGCUCCCUGAAGUCAGCGGCGGACGGGUGAGUAACACGUGGGCAACCUGCCUGUAAGACUGGGAUAACUCCGGGAACCGGGGCUAAUACCGGAUAACUCUUUUCCUCACAUGAGGAAAAGCUGAAAGAUGGUUUCGGCUAUCACUUACAGAUGGGCCCGCGGCGCAUUAGCUAGUUGGUGAGGUAACGGCUCACCAAGGCCACGAUGCGUAGCCGACCUGAGAGGGUGAUCGGCCACACUGGGACUGAGACACGGCCCAGACUCCUACGGGAGGCAGCAGUAGGGAAUCUUCCGCAAUGGACGAAAGUCUGACGGAGCAACGCCGCGUGAGUGAUGAAGGUUUUCGGAUCGUAAAACUCUGUUGUCAGGGAAGAACAAGUACCGGAGUAACUGCCGGUACCUUGACGGUACCUGACCAGAAAGCCACGGCUAACUACGUGCCAGCAGCCGCGGUAAUACGUAGGUGGCAAGCGUUGUCCGGAAUUAUUGGGCGUAAAGCGCGCGCAGGCGGUUCCUUAAGUCUGAUGUGAAAGCCCCCGGCUCAACCGGGGAGGGUCAUUGGAAACUGGGGAACUUGAGUGCAGAAGAGAAGAGUGGAAUUCCACGUGUAGCGGUGAAAUGCGUAGAGAUGUGGAGGAACACCAGUGGCGAAGGCGACUCUUUGGUCUGUAACUGACGCUGAGGCGCGAAAGCGUGGGGAGCAAACAGGAUUAGAUACCCU
Molecule: ribosomal RNA, 750 nt
Filed under: Bacillus sp. JC32
Lineage: Bacteria; Bacillati; Bacillota; Bacilli; Caryophanales; Bacillaceae
Description: bacterial SSU rRNA
Rfam family: Bacterial small subunit ribosomal RNA
Source: RNAcentral